GUGGGGAAUCUUGCGCAAUGGGCGAAAGCCUGACGCAGCCAUGCCGCGUGAAUGAUGAAGGUCUUAGGAUUGUAAAAUUCUUUCACCGGGGACGAUAAUGACGGUACCCGGAGAAGAAGCUCCGGCUAACUUCGUGCCAGCAGCCGCGGUAAUACGAAGGGGGCUAGCGUUGCUCGGAAUUACUGGGCGUAAAGGGCGCGUAGGCGGACAGCUUAGUCAGAGGUGAAAGCCCAGGGCUCAACCUUGGAAUUGCCUUUGAUACUGGCUGUCUUGAGUACGGGGGAGGUGAGUGGAACUCCGAGUGUAGAGGUGAAAUUCGUAGAUAUUCGGAAGAACACCAGGGGCGAAGGCGACUCACUGGCCCGUUACUGACGCUGAGGCGCUAAAGCGUGGGGAGCAAACAGGAUUAGAUACCCGGGUGUCC
This 424-nucleotide ribosomal RNA is filed under the name uncultured bacterium. Its description in RNAcentral is "partial 16S ribosomal RNA". It matches the Rfam family "Bacterial small subunit ribosomal RNA", at positions 354 to 796 of the family's 1533-position model. The record is from RNAcentral.